AAUCAACGCUGGCGGCGUGCCUAACACAUGCAAGUCGAACGCGAAAGUCCCGCAAGGGGCAAGUAGAGUGGCAAACGGGUGAGUAACGCGUGGGCGACCUACCUUCGAGUGGGGGAUAACCUUCCGAAAGGAGGGCUAAUACCGCAUGACAUCCCGUGUUUGGAUACACGGACAUCAAAGCCGGGGAUCGCAAGACCUGGCGCUUGGAGAGGGGCCCGCGUCCGAUUAGCUAGUUGGUGGGGAACGGCUCACCAAGGCUCCGAUCGGUAUCCGGCCUGAGAGGGCGGACGGACACACUGGGACUGAGACACGGCCCAGACUCCUACGGGAGGCAGCAGUGGGGAAUUGUUCGCAAUGGGCGCAAGCCUGACGACGCAACGCCGCGUGGAGGAUGAAGACCU
Molecule: ribosomal RNA, 401 nt
Filed under: uncultured bacterium
Lineage: Bacteria
Description: bacterial SSU rRNA
Rfam family: Bacterial small subunit ribosomal RNA
Source: RNAcentral